AUUGAACGCUGGCGGCAGGCUUAACACAUGCAAGUCGAGCGGAGAGAGGUAGCUUGCUACUGAUCUUAGCGGCGGACGGGUGAGUAAUGCUUAGGAAUCUGCCUAUUAGUGGGGGACAACAUUUCGAAAGGAAUGCUAAUACCGCAUACGUCCUACGGGAGAAAGCAGGGGAUCUUCGGACCUUGCGCUAAUAGAGGAGCCUAAGUCGGAUUAGCUAGUUGGUGGGGUAAAGGCCUACCAAGGCGACGAUCUGUAGCGGGUCUGAGAGGAUGAUCCGCCACACUGGGACUGAGACGCGGCCCAGACUCCUACGGGAGGCAGCAGUGGGGAAUAUGGAGCAAUGGGCGCAAGCCUGAUCCAGCCAGGCCGCGUGUGUGAAGAAGGCCUUAUGGUUGUAAAGCACUGUAAGCGAGGAGGAGGCUACUUUAGUUAAUACCUAGAGAUAGUGGACGUUACUCGCAGAAUAAGCACCGGCUAACUCUGUGCCAGCCGCCGCCGUAA
This 501-nucleotide ribosomal RNA is filed under the name uncultured bacterium. RNAcentral describes it as "partial 16S ribosomal RNA". It matches the Rfam family "Bacterial small subunit ribosomal RNA", at positions 30 to 523 of the family's 1533-position model. The record is from RNAcentral.